This 496-nucleotide ribosomal RNA is filed under the name uncultured bacterium. RNAcentral's name for it is "partial 16S ribosomal RNA". It matches the Rfam family "Bacterial small subunit ribosomal RNA", at positions 28 to 506 of the family's 1533-position model. The record is from RNAcentral.
GAUGAACGCUGGCGGCGUGCCUAAUACAUGCAAGUCGAGCGAACAGACGAGGAGCUUGCUCCUCUGACGUUAGCGGCGGACGGGUGAGUAACACGUGGAUAACCUACCUAUAAGACUGGGAUAACUUCGGGAAACCGGAGCUAAUACCGGAUAAUAUAUUGAACCGCAUGGUUCAAUAGUGAAAGACGGUUUUGCUGUCACUUAUAGAUGGAUCCGCGCCGCAUUAGCUAGUUGGUAAGGUAACGGCUUACCAAGGCAACGAUGCGUAGCCGACCUGAGAGGGUGAUCGGCCACACUGGAACUGAGACACGGUCCAGCCUCCUACGGGAGGCAGCAGUAGGGAAUCUUCCGCAAUGGGCGAAAGCCUGACGGAGCAACGCCACGUGAGUGAUGAAGGUCUUCGGAUCGUAAAACUCUGUUAUUAGGGAAGAACAAAUGUGUAAGUAACUAUGCACGUCUUGACGGUACCUAAUCAGAAAGCCACGGCUAACUACGU